GAGAAUCCCGGCUAGCAGCGUGGGAGCUGGCAGGGCUUCUGCAAGCCCUCUGCUCCCACCCUGGCCCCAUUUCACAGACGAGGAAACAAAGGCCCAAAGAAGAGUUCCGCCCGGGACGGAACGUGGCAUAGCUCGCAACAGAACCCAGUCUCCGGAGAUCCCUCUCCUCUGCACCACUUGGACGUUCCACGGAGAGGCAGCGGUGCGCGGGGCGACGGGGAGCUGCCAGAGAAGUCAGUGGUGGGCAUGAGUGGGUGAGACGGGCCCACUGAGGUUUCUGGCAGUGGGGAGCCAUGGAAAGUUUCUGAACAGAGAAGCACUUAUUGGGAACUGUCAGAGCUAUGCUUCAGGAGAUGAAUCUGGCAACAACGUGGGUAGGAUGGACAGAUGAUGAUUGGUCAGUGAAGGAGGAGGGGAGUGAGGAGAGAGGGUUGUCAUGGAAGCCAAGUGAGAAGAGGAUUUAAUAGAGGAGGUGGAGGAGGUUGCUAACAGUGUCUGAUGCUGCAGAAAGCAGGUGGGGAUCAGAAGGGGUCUUUGGAAGCAGUGGCAAAACCACCAGUGACCUUUGAGAGAGGGAUGUUGGUGACUAGGCAGGGGCUGAACCCAGAUCAAAGUGGGAGGAGGAGCAACUGGAAGGUGAAAAAGCAGAGGCAGCAGGUAUCCUCUCUGCUUUUGAGAAGUUUGGUGGCGGACGGAAUGAGCAAGGUGGAUGAGAAGCUCGGAGAGGGUUAGCAAGACAGACCAAGAGGCUUAUUUUCUCCUUUUUCAUCGGAAAUCAAAAGCUACUGAGCAUCUUGUAGUCAGAAGGAAAAGAGCUAGUGGACAGUGAGGGAGUGGAGAAGCAAGUGUAAGAAGUGAAAUAGGGUGUCAUUUAUGGAGCAAGUCCUGGGUUGGGGGGCACUGAGGGUGGGAAGGGGUCAGCCUU
RNAcentral lists this long non-coding RNA (925 nucleotides) under Homo sapiens (human). RNAcentral's name for it is "non-protein coding lnc-RNF26-1:5". The record is from RNAcentral. Lineage: Eukaryota; Metazoa; Chordata; Mammalia; Primates; Hominidae.